UAGCCUAUGAAUUAGUUCAAGAACAGUUUCAAUCUGGUCAUAUUGAGCCUACUCUUAGCCCAUGAAAUACUCCAAUUUUUGUAAUAAAGAAAAAAAAUCUGCCAAACGGAGAUUGUUACAAGAUCUCAGAGCAAUUAAUUGAACUAUGGAACUGAUGGGUGCUUUCCAACAUGGGCUUCCCUCUCCUACAGCUAUCCCUCUUGGUUGUCAAUAGUAAUUGAUUUAAAAGAUUGUUUUUUCACUAUACCAUUGCAUCCAGGUGAUUGUAAGAGAUUUGUAUUUAG
This 284-nucleotide non-coding RNA is filed under the name Marmota monax (woodchuck). Lineage: Eukaryota; Metazoa; Chordata; Mammalia; Rodentia; Sciuridae. The record is from RNAcentral.